AUGAAGUUGAACACGGCAGAAGAAGAAGACUACAUGUCUGAUUCCUUUGUUAAUGUCCAGCAAGAUGUUAGGCCAGGCUUACCAAUGCUGAGGCAAGUACGAGAAGCUCGUCGAAAAGAAGAAAAACAACAAGAAGCUAAUUUGAAAAAUAGGCAGAAGAGUUUAAAACAGGAAGAACAAGAAAGACGUGACAUUGGGUUGAAGAAUGCACUAGGUUGUGAAAACAGAGGGUUUGCUUUGCUCCAAAAGAUGGGAUAUAGGAGCGGCCAGGCUCUUGGCAAGAGUGGAGAUGGUAUUGUUGAACCAAUUCCACUCACUGUCAAAACAGGCAAAGGUGGUAUUGGUCACGAGACAUCAUUAAAACGAAAAGCAGAAGAAAGAUUAGAAAGCUACAAAAGAAAAGUUCACAUGAAAAACCAAGCCCAAGAAAAUGCUGCAGAACAGUUUCGAAUGCGCCUUAAAAAUAAGCAAGAUGAAAUGAAGCUAGAAGGAGAUCUCAAAAGAAGCCAACGAGCCUGUCAGCAGUUAGAUAAUCAGAAGAAUAUUCAAAUUCCCAGAGAGUCAUGGUACUGGUUAAGGCCGGAAGAGGAGAGUGAAGAGGAAGAAGAAAAAGAAGAUGAAGAUGAAUAUAAGAGUGAAGAUUUAAGUGUACUGGAAAAGUUACAAAUACUGACUGAUUAUUUAAGAGAAGAACAUUUGUAUUACAUAAGGUUUUCUGAGAUCUACUAUUUCAGAAGUGGCUGUGGACGUGGAAUGGACUGAGCAAAUGGAUUUGAUUCUUGUAGCGUAUGUGAAUUUGUUAGACAUAGUGGACAUCAUAGAUCUUCUUUUUCACAUUAUACUGGCCUGAAAUAUGAAGACAAAUGUGGAGGUAGAUCUCACAACUGGGUAGCUGUCAAAGAUGAAUUAGCAGUGUCCCAAAUACAUUUCAAAACAAAUGUCAUAUAAUUGCCGUAUCGUGGCUCAAUCAAAUAUUUCUGAGGAUACACUCAAAGUGAAGAACAUACAGAAGCCAACUCUGAGACAAAAGAAAAUGAAGUUGAAGAGGAAAGAAAGAGCAUCCAAAAGAAAUGGCAUUGGAUAAGUGGAAGCUUAUUCAAAAUGAAGACCUGAAUAAAGUAGAAUUUAAUAUCCACAAACCAAAUGAAGUUUCUGAAGGACAGUGGAAAACAGGACUUAUUCUUCAUAAGUCAAAGUGAAUAGGCCCAUUCAAAAGACUUGACUACAUAUCAUUGUUUCUGGAAGCCAGCAAAUGAUAUAUAGUAUCUCAGCUCGAGAUAAAUUUUCAGUGACCUUGCCGCCCAGGAUUUGGAGGUAAGUGAGAGAGAGGAUGACAUGGGCAUGAUGGGUGUUCCAACCAUGGCAGCAGGACUCACAAGUCCAGUGCUUCCGCUCCUGAUGUAGAUGAUACAAAUUCUUAG
Molecule: RNA transcript, 1421 nt
Organism: Elephantulus edwardii (Cape elephant shrew)
Lineage: Eukaryota; Metazoa; Chordata; Mammalia; Macroscelidea; Macroscelididae
Gene name: plasminogen activator inhibitor 1 RNA-binding protein-like
Exons: 2
Source: RefSeq, a predicted model, not a curated record